CCUACGGGUGGCAGCAGUGAGGAAUAUUGGUCAAUGGUCGGGAGACUGAACCAGCCAAGCCGCGUGAGGGAUGAAGGUACAGAGUAUCGUAAACCUCUUUUGUCAGGGCACAAAGGCGGGGACGUGUCCCCGGAUGAGUGUACCUGAAGAAAAAGCAUCGGCUAACUCCGUGCCAGCAGCCGCGGUAAUACGGAGGAUGCGAGCGUUAUCCGGAUUUAUUGGGUGUAAAGGGUGCGCAGGCGGUCUGUUAAGUCAGCGGUAAAAGCCCGGGGCUCAACCCCGGCCCGCCGUUGAAACUGGCAGUCUCGAGUGGGAGAGAAGUAUGCGGAAUGCGCGGUGUAGCGGUGAAAUGCAUAGAUAUCGCGCAGAACUCCGAUUGCGAAGGCAGCAUGCCGGCUCCACACUGACGCUGAGGCACGAAAGCGUGGGUAUCGAACAGGAUUAGAUACCCUUGUAGUC
RNAcentral lists this ribosomal RNA (459 nucleotides) under uncultured bacterium. RNAcentral's name for it is "partial 16S ribosomal RNA". It matches the Rfam family "Bacterial small subunit ribosomal RNA", at positions 338 to 795 of the family's 1533-position model. The record is from RNAcentral.